Small nuclear RNA from Oryctolagus cuniculus (rabbit), 103 nucleotides. The record is from Ensembl. Lineage: Eukaryota; Metazoa; Chordata; Mammalia; Lagomorpha; Leporidae.
UUGCUUCAACAGCACAUACACUAAAACCAAAAGAACACAGAGAAGAUAGCCAAGGGCCCUGCACAAGGGUGACACACAAGCUGGUGAAGCAGUCCACAUUUUU